AUACUUACCUGGCAGGGGAGAUACCAUGAUCAUGAAGGUGGUUUUCCCAGGGCGAGGCUCACCCAUUGCACUUUGGGGUGUGCUGACCCCUGCGAUUUCC
RNAcentral lists this small nuclear RNA (100 nucleotides) under Mus musculus (house mouse). RNAcentral's name for it is "partial non-coding RNA". It matches the Rfam family "U1 spliceosomal RNA", at positions 1 to 100 of the family's 166-position model. Rfam says of the family: U1 is a small nuclear RNA (snRNA) component of the spliceosome (involved in pre-mRNA splicing). The record is from RNAcentral. Lineage: Eukaryota; Metazoa; Chordata; Mammalia; Rodentia; Muridae.